CGACAGUUAAGAAAGACGUUCACAAAAUAUGGAGCUCAUAUCAUAUGAUUCUAUGAGAACAAGAAAGGCGACAGCGUUGUUUCUAUUAAUUGAAAUGGAACAAGAAGAGCAGCUAUUACAGGCUCAGGAUUUACUUUUACAAGUAAAAUAUUAUUUUUUGUCAAUUUUUCAUAUCAAGUAACAUAAUGAAAAUCAUAAACGCGCCUCGUACACCAACAC
RNAcentral lists this long non-coding RNA (219 nucleotides) under Mytilus galloprovincialis (Mediterranean mussel). Lineage: Eukaryota; Metazoa; Mollusca; Bivalvia; Mytilida; Mytilidae. The record is from RNAcentral.